AAGUCGUAACAAGGUUUCCGUAGGUGAACCUGCGGAAGGAUCAUUAACACGAAUUUAAUAUUUUCCAAUAUUUAAAACCAAACCCGCGAACCUUUUUCCUCCCUAUUUCGUUUAUCGGAGACGAUACGAUUAGGCUACCAUUUUUUUCAUAUAUCAAACCCCUUUUAUUAAUCAACUUUACGUUUUGUGUCUCGUUGGAUUUGCUUAUAACUUUUUGUUUGUAGCCAAACCCGAAGUGGCGCGACGUGACUAACUAAAAACUAUAUAUACAUUGUGCGUAUACAUAUUUUUUUUCUUUACGAAAUAAAUACUAUUCACAUACAGAACAACUCUUAGCAAUGGAUAUCUUGGUUCUC
RNAcentral lists this unclassified non-coding RNA (356 nucleotides) under fungal sp. RNAcentral describes it as "partial internal transcribed spacer region". The stretch from base 1 to 46 matches the Rfam family "Eukaryotic small subunit ribosomal RNA", at positions 1786 to 1831 of the family's 1831-position model. RNAcentral also lists the same sequence under 1 other name. The record is from RNAcentral. Lineage: Eukaryota; Fungi.